UUGGACCUGAUAUCAGGGAAGAAUUACCCGCCUGAACUUAA
RNAcentral lists this ribosomal RNA (41 nucleotides) under Phytophthora gonapodyides. RNAcentral describes it as "partial 28S ribosomal RNA". The record is from RNAcentral. Lineage: Eukaryota; Oomycota; Peronosporomycetes; Peronosporales; Peronosporaceae.